This 590-nucleotide ribosomal RNA is filed under the name Clostridioides difficile. Its description in RNAcentral is "partial 23S ribosomal RNA". It matches the Rfam family "Bacterial large subunit ribosomal RNA", at positions 2332 to 2925 of the family's 2925-position model. Lineage: Bacteria; Bacillati; Bacillota; Clostridia; Peptostreptococcales; Peptostreptococcaceae. The record is from RNAcentral.
CGGAAAUCGUACGUAGAGUGUAAAGGCAAAAGAGAGCUUGAUUGCAAGACAUACAGGUCGAGCAAGGAUGAAAAUCGGACUUAGUGAUCCGGUGGUUCUGCGUGGAAGGGCCAUCGCUCAACGGAUAAAAGCUACCCUGGGGAUAACAGGCUUAUCUCCCCCAAGAGUCCACAUCGACGGGGAGGUUUGGCACCUCGAUGUCGGCUCAUCACAUCCUGGGGCUGUAGUAGGUCCCAAGGGUUGGGCUGUUCGCCCAUUAAAGUGGUACGCGAGCUGGGUUCAGAACGUCGUGAGACAGUUCGGUCCCUAUCCGUCGCAGGCGUAGGAAAUUUGAGAAGACCUGUCCUUAGUACGAGAGGACCGGGAUGGACGUACCUCUGGUGUACCAGUUGUCCUGCCAAGGGCAUGGCUGGGUAGCUAUGUACGGAAUGGAUAAGCGCUGAAAGCAUCUAAGCGCGAAGCCAACUUCAAGAUAAGAUUUCCCACCGCAAGGGUAAGACCCCAGAAAGACUAUCUGGUUGAUAGGUCGAAGGUGUAAGUGCAGCAAUGUAUUUAGCUUAUCGAUACUAAUAGGUCGAGGACUUGACCAA